AGUGAACGCUGGCGGUAGGCCUAUCACAUGCAAGUCGAACGGCAGCACAGUAAGCGCUUGCUCUUACGGGUGGCGAGUGGCGGACGGGUGAGGCAUACAUCGGAAUCUACUUUUUCGUGGGGGACAACGUAGGGAAACUUACGCUAAUACCGCAUACGACCUACGGCUGAAAGCAGUGGAUCUUCGGACCUUGCCCGACUCAAUGAGCCGAUGCCGGAUUAGCUAGUUUGCGGGGUAAAGGCCCACCAAGGCGACGAUCCGUAGCUGGGCUGAGAGGAUGAUCGGCCACACUGGAACUGAGACACGGUCCAGACUCCUACGGGAGGCAGCAGUAGGGAAUAUUGGGCAAUGGGCGCAAGCCUGACCCAGCCAUGCCGCGUGGGUGAAGAAGGCCUUCGGGUUGUAAAGCCCUGUUGUUGGGAAAGAAAAGCAGCGGGUGAAUACCCCGCUGUUCUGACGGUACCCAAAGAGUAAGCACCGGCUAACUUCGUG
RNAcentral lists this ribosomal RNA (492 nucleotides) under uncultured bacterium. RNAcentral's name for it is "partial 16S ribosomal RNA". It matches the Rfam family "Bacterial small subunit ribosomal RNA", at positions 29 to 507 of the family's 1533-position model. The record is from RNAcentral.